GUGCCCCCCCCCCCAUGGCCCAGUGUGGCCUCCACAAGCCAGUUUCCCAGACUCCAGGGGGCGACCUGCGCUCCAGAUUCCGCCCGACAGCACGUCCCACCCAGGUGUCCCCAGUCUCCACCCUCUUUCGUAUCUCUAGGCCCCUGGGAAGAUCCAGGAAUUCACCAAACACAAAUGGCAGCAGGCUGGUAAUCAGGCCUCACCCAAGGCUUGGCAGGUUCCCUCUAGCCCUUGUCUUGGAGAUGGAGCCACCAAGUGGAGAACUGGAGCCAGGACCCCGUGUCUAGCGCAUCUCCUCACGCCUUCUGUCCUGUCCUAGAUGUUUUUCUGGUUUUCCCAAGUGCCAGCCACUUCUCAGAUUCACGCAUCUUUGAGCGAAGAAAAUCCGGGUUCCCACCCCAGACACUUAAAAAUGUCAUUAUAGCUUUACCUCUUACAGGUGGCAGUAAAGGACCUCUUUAAAUAGCGGGUUAAACGGAUGCAGAUGUACACAAUGUACCGUGGAAUUACCGGGUGCUGGUCUGGCCUUCUGCCAAGAACAGCUACCGCGGCGGGUGGGAGGGGUGCAGCAGGAAGCGAAGAAAAGUUGUUCCAUUUGAUUUUCUGAACAAUGAAUGAGCUAGGAUUUCAGAGCACUUCCAAGGCCUGGGAGAGUCAGCGUCCUCAACUUCUUCCCCUAGCUUCUUAAAUGCCCCUCCCCUUAUUUUUUAAAGACACGAUCUCCUGUAGCCCACGGCCUCCAACUCACUGUGGAGGAUAAUCUUGAACUAAUGGUCCUUCCCCCAUCUCCCCAGCGCAGCAAUAACAAGCACUGGCCAGCAUGCUGAGUUCAUAUGACACUGAAGAAUCAAUUCAGGUUUUGCCACGCUAGCACAUACUCUACUAGCUGAGCUGCAUCCUUGGCCAUUAUGGUCCAGAGCAGGAGGCAGAGACCUAACUAAGGAAGGCCAGCUCUGUCUGAGGUCUCCAGGCUCAUUAGAGGAUCCCACCUACCAGUGUCUAAUGAAGGAGAGCUAUUGUCAUGCCUGUUGCACACACAGCGAUAUCAAGCUGCUGAAAGCUGCAGCAGCAGAGUCUGGUAUUUCACAGCAACUGCUGAUGGAGCCUAUAUGAGCUGGAACUGCAGCUGCUGGCUGGAAUAAAGCAGUGAUGUGCCCGCCCUGGUGAUCAAGUCUCAGGUUUCUCUCAUGUCGGAGGAUAUGGAUGCCUGACUGAAAA
RNAcentral lists this long non-coding RNA (1218 nucleotides) under Cricetulus griseus (Chinese hamster). RNAcentral describes it as "lncRNA (ENSCGRG00015035062.1)". The record is from RNAcentral. Lineage: Eukaryota; Metazoa; Chordata; Mammalia; Rodentia; Cricetidae.